RNAcentral lists this unclassified non-coding RNA (421 nucleotides) under uncultured Agaricomycetes. RNAcentral's name for it is "sequence contains ITS2". The stretch from base 1 to 145 matches the Rfam family "5.8S ribosomal RNA". Lineage: Eukaryota; Fungi; Basidiomycota; Agaricomycetes. The record is from RNAcentral.
AACUUUUAGCAACGGAUCACGCAUCGAUGAAGAACGCAGCGAAAUGCGAUAAGUAAUGUGAAUUGCAGAAUUCAGUGAAUCAUCGAAUCUUUGAACGCAACUUGCACUCCAUGGUAUUCCAAGGAGUAUACCUGUUUGAGUGUCAUGGAAUUUUCAAUCCGUAAAAAUAUUGUUUUAUUUUUAUGGACUUGGAUUUGGAGGUCGUGCCGGCUUUUUUAAAAGAGUAUGGCUCCUCUUAAAUAUAUUAGCGCAAAACUUACCUAUCGCUCAUUGGUGUGAUAAUUAUCUAUGCCAUAAGCGGGUGUAAAGUGUAAAUGUGCUUCUAAUCAUCCUUUUUUAUAAGGAUAAUUAUAUUUUAAUAUCUGACCUCAAAUCAGGUAGGACUACCCGCUGAACUUAAGCAUAUCAAUAAGCGGAGGCU